This 253-nucleotide ribosomal RNA is filed under the name uncultured bacterium. RNAcentral describes it as "partial 16S ribosomal RNA". It matches the Rfam family "Bacterial small subunit ribosomal RNA", at positions 524 to 776 of the family's 1533-position model. The record is from RNAcentral.
UACGAAGGGGGCUAGCGUUGCUCGGAAUGACUGGGCGUAAAGGGCGCGUAGGCGGCUCAUACAGUCAGAUGUGAAAUUCCUGGGCUUAACCUGGGGGCUGCAUUUGAUACGUGUGGGCUUGAGUGGGGAAGAGGGUCGUGGAAUUCCCAGUGUAGAGGUGAAAUUCGUAGAUAUUGGGAAGAACACCGGUGGCGAAGGCGGCGACCUGGACGAAUACUGACACUCAACUGCGAAAGCGUGGGGAGCAAACAGG